Molecule: non-coding RNA, 237 nt
Organism: Paramuricea clavata
Lineage: Eukaryota; Metazoa; Cnidaria; Anthozoa; Malacalcyonacea; Plexauridae
Source: the annotation of a GenBank genome assembly
GCAUGAACUUGUGGUUAUAGAGCUCGACAACUGGCCUCUGUAGCUCAGGGGUUGGUUGUUCAAAGGUGGGUUAGCGCUAACUCUGGGUUAAAAUUUAACCUGCUGUUUUAGUUUGUGUAUUUCUACACGUCUGUUUAUUUCAAAACUUCAGAGAAGUAAACUCCUAUCGAUCCAGACAAGAUCUCUGAAGAAAUAUUUCCAAAUUUAUAGACAAGUUGUCAGGAAGUUUGCUUUGAA